AGGUGGAUCAGUGGAUACCCUGCUGCGGCUUAAAUCGCUUACGUCAAUGCGAGAAGUAUUGUCCUUCAGAGGUGGAGUGUAAUCUUUCCCAGUUACCAAGUUGUCCAUAUUGGGGUUCAUGGAGAAUUUGACUUCCCAAGUGCUGGGUCUUGUUUCUGAGUUGCACCAGGAUGAUGUUGUUGGAUCAUCUAGUGAAGUUGGUAUUUCAGAUACGCCUCCAGUCAUGUUUCGCAUAUGUGUUGUAGUUAAAUUUGCAAUUCCUGCAGAAUAUCUUUUUUCUGUGGUAGAUUCUUCGUCAACGACCCUAAAGCAUAACUAAAAAAUAUGUCUCUCUCCCUGUUCGAGUUCUCACCUUUUGGAGCUGGGUAAUAACUACACCAUUGGAGCUGGUCAAUAUCUACACCAUUAGUGUUCGACCCUUUUGACCAUGGCCUUCCCUUCUUUUUCUAGUCUUGGAGCUGGUCAUUAUCCUUGAACCCAUCAAUGAUGUUGCACAGUUAGUAGACGUAUUAGGUUGCGGAAGCAGUAGGAAGAAUAUCGGGCACUUAUUUGGGUUGCAGGUAUGGUAGGUUUAUGUGCAUAAUUGGAGCUAUAGGUCACGUACAGGAAGAUUGUUCUUGUGUUCAUCUUGAGUUGGUAAUAACUUCCUGUGUUUGUUUUUAGUUAGAGUGAAUUUACUUUGAUAUAUGGAGUGGUAAUGUGUUAUGAAAAAUUUACACUUGCUACUAUAGGAACUAGGUAGGUAUACAAAAAGGAAAAGGCAUAAUGAUGAGCAGGGUAUGCUCCAUACAUGAUUAUUUAAGUUAGCUUAUCGAACAUAGGUAAUUGCCUUUUAAUAGCUAACUGUUUUAUGAAAAGGGUGUGAGGAUGGUGAAGCUUGGACCACUAUAUCUAGAGGUUUUUAAGGUAUAGAUGAGCUUAGCUGAUAGUAAUUGGUAAACUUUAAUUACAUUCGAUUUGUUGAUUAUUUUUUAGGAUAAUUACUUGACUGUUGGUGGGGCAGUGAAAGCAAAGGGUGAAGUAUUGAAACAUUUUUCUAGGGGUAGCUGUAAGGUAUUUGUUGAGAUUUGGUAAAGUUAUUGAACAUACUGAAAUGCCCUAUAGAUUUUUGAUGUCACACUUUGUGCAGGCACCAAAUUUGACAUGCCAUAUAGAGUCAUUUGGUAGAAUUUGCCAAAAGUUUGAUGUAAGACGUAAGAGAUGGGUAUCUGAAAUGGGAUUUGGGGGCCUAUUGCAUCUUGCUUCGUUAGGCAUGCAAUUGCCAAGGCAAUUAGCCUACUGGUUGCUGACUCGUAUUGAUCCUGUUAGUAAGAUUCUAAUAUCUCCAGAUGGGGAAGAAUUUAGUUUGUCUGCAAAUCAAGUGUAUUGGGUGCUUGGAAUCCCAAAUGGUGGGAAGACAGUUCCGACAAAGAAAAACAUGACCCCUGAAUUGAAAGACAAGGUUGAAGCAUUAUUAAGAAAAUAUUGCUAAUCAUGGAAAACCAGGUGCAGUAGAUAUGAAGAUCGGGUGUACAUUACUAAGGGUAUAUCUGUCAAUUCUAGUUUGAUGGAAAGAAUUGAGGGUGAAUGGUUAGCUGAUGAGGAAGUCGAAUUCAAGACUUUAUUCCUCUUAUUGUCUUUGUACAUGGUGCUAUGCCCAACAUAAUCCCCAAGACUGUCGGCGGAUCUUGUUCCAGCGUUAACUUGUGCCCAGGAGUGCCUGGAUUAUGACUAGUGCGGGUUGGCUGUGGCAAAGUUGUUAGGUAGUGUAUCAACAUUUGCUCGGCAGUUUUAUGCCAACGGUUUUGCUGGAGGAUCUGGAGGGUGCUUCUUAUUUUUUGUAGUAAGAGGUUUAAUUGUUUGAAGCUGGUUAUAACUUAUACUGUUUAGUGUUCAAAAUUCUUUUAAUGAAUAUAAAUUGUACAUUUUAUUAGGUUAUGUACUUGGACCGGCUGAAUAAGGUGUCGUCACGUUGGGGUGUAUUUCCUAGGCUGAAGGUCUGGAAUAUACAAGAGAUUAGUUGUGUUGCUAGGCUUGAUCAUCACUCUAUAACUGGGGUCUUUGGCAAGCUCGGGAUGAUAGAUGUUGCGUAUAGAGAGAAUUAUCCUAAGGAGGCUAGAGAUAGUAGUGGUCCGAGUUUGAUAGGCUGUCAGGAUAACGAGGAGACAUAUUACAUAAUUCAAGCCCCGAAGCUAAGGCGGAUCAGAGGCGUGGGAAUCCCUUGUUUUGUCAGCAAUCAUGUAUGUGCAGAAUCAGAUGUCACAAGCUACGAAACUAUCGCUAGCAAAACAAUUUUGGUGAUCUAGUCUUAUAUACAAUCAAUUUAUAAAUGGUGGGUAGAGAAACAUUUGUCAGACUAGCAUUAAGUGUAACCAUUUAUAUGAAGCGGCUGUUGUUUAGGGUAAAAGUUACCCUGGACACGUGGACCUAUGGGGAUCUGACACGUGUCAUCCCCCAUUGCACCAUGGGCAUCCAACCACUGGAUGCCACGUGGCAUCGUACCCCCUAUGGGGGAGCAUACCCAUCUGCUAUAAAUAGAGGAAUCUACCUCAUUUAUUGAUAUUCAGAAAAUAUACACAAAAA
Molecule: long non-coding RNA, 2562 nt
Organism: Chenopodium quinoa (quinoa)
Lineage: Eukaryota; Viridiplantae; Streptophyta; Magnoliopsida; Caryophyllales; Amaranthaceae
Exons: 7
Source: RefSeq, a predicted model, not a curated record